UACGUAGGGUGCAAGCGUUAAUCGGAAUUACUGGGCGUAAAGCGUGCGCAGGCGGUUAUGUAAGACAGAUGUGAAAUCCCCGGGCUCAACCUGGGAACUGCAUUUGUGACUGCAUAGCUAGAGUACGGUAGAGGGGGAUGGAAUUCCGCGUGUAGCAGUGAAAUGCGUAGAGAUGCGGAGGAACACCGAUGGGCGAAGGCAGGUCUCUGGGCCGAUAC
Molecule: ribosomal RNA, 218 nt
Filed under: uncultured bacterium
Lineage: Bacteria
Description: partial 16S ribosomal RNA
Rfam family: Bacterial small subunit ribosomal RNA
Source: RNAcentral